Sus scrofa (pig) is the source of this 2404-nucleotide long non-coding RNA. RefSeq lists it as uncharacterized. NCBI's taxonomy places the organism in Eukaryota, Metazoa, Chordata, Mammalia, Artiodactyla, Suidae. The record is from RefSeq and is a predicted model, not a curated record.
CUCCCCCAGCUGUGCACAUUUCCUGUCCCUGCUAAGAUUCAGUGAAUGACCUCAUGCACGCUUAGCCAAUAUGAGCUAAAGGCUGCUGUCCGACAAAUAAGCAUCAGCAAGGACAGGGAUCUCAAGGCCACCUCCAUCCCAGGGCCAGUCACUCGACCACUUUCCUGGCCCCAAAUCCCUCAUCAAAAGGAGAAGAUCUGGGUUCUUUCCAGAGCAAGCCCGAAUCCCUCUCCUUCUCUUUUCCUUCGCCCCCUAAAUGAUGUCAACAAAUACUUCUUUUGCUGAGUGAAGAGUUUGGCCUUCCCUUUCCUGAUGAAAAAAAAAAAAAAAGAGGUGAAGUGAGAGAGAAGGUGAUAUAACCGUGAAGCCAGCCCUGGGUGCCAGGUACCACUUCACAGAGGAGGUGGUUCCAGAGCCAAGUUUGAAGAGACAAAGAAGUCACCAGCAGACAGAAGAGGAAAUACCUUCCAGAAAAAAGGCCUGCUGAUUGCCAGCAUUAUCAAAACGUCUUUGGGGAGUAUCUACGUCCUGCCACAAGCCUCAGGGAACCAGGCUCCUGUCCUCCCAUCCAGCUGCUACUUCUUCAAAAUACUCUCAAGUCUAGCCCUCACUGCCAGCAUCUUUGAAGGUCUCGGAGUGAAGAACUGAUUGCUUAUCUUCUCAGCCACUGGCUGGAUACAAAGCCAAAGUCCUUUUGCUUCUUUUUUCUAUCUUUUCCAUGUGAUGAAACACAGACAUGUGUUGUAUAUGAGUCUAAACACAAGUGGAAACAGCAAAACCAAUCUAUACGGGGUGUCAACAUAGCACAGUGGUCAAGGCCCAGGGUCUAGAGCGCAAAUGCCGGCUUUCACUGCAGGUUCCUUCUUACUGCCCCAGAGACCAGAGACAAACCACUUACAUCUCAGAGGCUCUGUUUUGCCAUAUGUAAAAUGAGGGAAAUGAGAGUCCCUACUCCAUAGGAUGGUGAGAAGAGUCUGAUAUUUUACGAGCCUAGAACUUGGAACAGAGGCUGGCACCUAGGAAGUGCUCCAUAAGCACAAAGCCCUAUUUGGCCCAAACUUUGGCUUUGUGUAAGUAUUAAUAUUUGUUCAACAGUGAACAAAUAUUUGUUGUAUAUCUCCUGUGGACCAGGUGCUCUGCUAGGUGUGUUUUCCUGGAACUCAGAAGACCUAAGUUCUGGCCUCAGUUUUGCUACGAGCAGGAUGACCAAGGACCAACCUCCUCAUCUCUUGAUCCUCAGGUUUCUUCUCCUUUAAAGCCGGACACCGGGACCACGUGACCAGCAAGGGCCCCCUCCGGUCCUGGCCUGCCCUAAAUGACCAUUCUUGCAAGAACACAGCCCAAGUCCUCCCCAGGCAGGGGUGACCCUUCCGGCCACUCGCACCCACCAUGGGGUCCCCAUGUGUGAGUACGUGGCCUGGAGAGAAGCAGGCCUGAUGGCUGUCUUGUGCUCGCCAUAAAAUAUUGAUUAGGGAAUUUAAAAUUUCAAAAUGAUUUAGGAGCCCCAAGACGGGGACGUAAUGUGCUGUGCCCUGCUGCGUUAUGAGCCAUCUAUCUCCUGUCAGCGAGCAGCAAGAAACUGGCAGAAUCAAUACAAACGUGUCUAAAGACAGACUUAACUCAUUUCCUGCUCCCCCCCACCCUCUUCCCAAGGCUAUGGUUGGAGUGGGUCAGCCUGAGGGGUGAGCACCCAAGUCGGGGAGCCUGGACACUCAUCUGCCAGGACAGCGCAGGCAGGGGUCUCGAGAUGCUGCCUGUUUUCACUCCCUCCAUUGGCUCAGGCAGACAUCUCUGUGAAGGCAUCAGGAAAAUUAAGCAAUCUAGAACUUCCAUCCUCUUUUUCUUUCUUAAGUUCUAAAUAGGAUCUUCUGGCCUGUGUCUUGAAACGAAAAUCAUAAUGAUAGCUUCUUCAUAUUUAGCACCAAGAAUUCUAUAAGAAUCAUCAUUAUUUAACAUCUCAGAGUCUCAGCUUCCCCAUCUGUGAAAGGAAGGGGAUAAGAACACCUUCCUCGAAGGGUUGACAUCAGAGUAAAGCAGAUGCACUGUGACUGUGCUUAAUGCCCCUGACUUGGAAGCUUAAAAAUGGUUAGAAUGGCACAUUUCAUGUUAUGGAUGUUUCACCGUAAUAAAAAAUAACCUGCUUAAAGCACACAAACUACAUUACCUAGUACAUGAAAGGUUCUCCAUAAAUGGCAGUGGGGAUGCAGAGGGCAACAAGUGGUGUGUCCAAGGUAAGAAGAUUCAAAGCAGCAGAGCUGGUAUUUGAACCCACGUCUGCCUGGUUCUGAAAUGGGAGCCCUGUCCUCCAAGCUGCACUGUGUUGCAGGAGAACAGGUGCGCUGCAAGGAGGUCUCAGGCGUCCGUGUUCACAGGUUCACCUAUUGCCCGACCAGCAUCGCCGGUG